RNAcentral lists this ribosomal RNA (253 nucleotides) under uncultured bacterium. RNAcentral's name for it is "partial 16S ribosomal RNA". It matches the Rfam family "Bacterial small subunit ribosomal RNA", at positions 524 to 776 of the family's 1533-position model. The record is from RNAcentral.
UACGGAGGGUGCAAGCGUUAUCCGGAUUUAUUGGGUUUAAAGGGUCCGUAGGCGGGCCUGUAAGUCAGUGGUGAAAUCUCAUAGCUUAACUAUGAAACUGCCAUUGAUACUGCAGGUCUUGAGUAAAUUUGAAGUGGCUGGAAUAAGUAGUGUAGCGGUGAAAUGCAUAGAUAUUACUUAGAACACCAAUUGCGAAGGCAGGUCACUAAGAUUUAACUGACGCUGAUGGACGAAAGCGUGGGUAGCGAACAGG